AUAAAUUUUGUUUCAAAUAAAAAUCUGAAGUGGCCGGAUGCCUCUUAAAGAGUAACAAAAGUGUGUGAAGGGAGGCUCAAGCUAAGAUUUUGCUCGUGAGCACAAUGGUAUAAGCCUGCCUAAUUAUGAGACUAAUUGGUCGAAUAGAGACGAAAGUUGACCAUAGUGAUAUGGGAGUCCCAUGUGGAAGGGCUCUCACUUAACAGAUCAAAGGUAUGUUGAUGAUAACAGACUGAUGACUCCCAAGAGCUCUUAUUGAUGGAGUUGUUUGGCACCUUGAUGUUGACUCAUCACAUCUUGGAGGUGGAAAGGUUCCCAAGAGUUUGGUUGUUCACCGAUCAAAGUAGAAGAAAAUAAACUGCCAUUUGCCUAGGUAAGAG
Molecule: non-coding RNA, 380 nt
Filed under: Eucalyptus grandis
Lineage: Eukaryota; Viridiplantae; Streptophyta; Magnoliopsida; Myrtales; Myrtaceae
Description: Bacterial large subunit ribosomal RNA
Rfam family: Bacterial large subunit ribosomal RNA
Source: Rfam by way of RNAcentral